UACGAAGGGUGCAAGCGUUACUCGGAAUUACUGGGCGUAAAGGGUGCGUAGGUGGUUUGUUAAGUCUGCUGUGAAAUCCCCGGGCUCAACCUGGGAAUGGCAGUGGAUACUGGCAAGCUAGAGUGCGGUAGAGGGUAGUGGAAUUCCUGGUGUAGCAGUGAAAUGCGUAGAUAUCAGGAGGAACACCGAUGGCGAAGGCAGGUCUCUGGGCUGACACUGACGCUCAUGCACGAAAGCGUGGGGAGCAAACAGG
Molecule: ribosomal RNA, 253 nt
Filed under: uncultured bacterium
Lineage: Bacteria
Description: partial 16S ribosomal RNA
Rfam family: Bacterial small subunit ribosomal RNA
Source: RNAcentral